RNAcentral lists this ribosomal RNA (465 nucleotides) under uncultured Neisseriaceae bacterium. RNAcentral's name for it is "bacterial SSU rRNA". It matches the Rfam family "Bacterial small subunit ribosomal RNA", at positions 338 to 795 of the family's 1533-position model. Lineage: Bacteria; Pseudomonadati; Pseudomonadota; Betaproteobacteria; Neisseriales; Neisseriaceae. The record is from RNAcentral.
CCUACGGGAGGCAGCAGUGGGGAAUUUUGGACAAUGGGGGCAACCCUGAUCCAGCCAUGCCGCGUGUCUGAAGAAGGCCUUCGGGUUGUAAAGGACUUUUGUCCGGGAAGAAAAGCGCGAUGUUAAUACCAUUGCGUGCUGACGGUACCGGAAGAAUAAGCACCGGCUAACUACGUGCCAGCAGCCGCGGUAAUACGUAGGGUGCGAGCGUUAAUCGGAAUUACUGGGCGUAAAGCGGGCGCAGACGGUUACUUAAGCAGGAUGUGAAAUCCCCGGGCUCAACCUGGGAAUUGCGUUCUGAACUGGGUGGCUAGAGUGUGUCAGAGGGGGGUAGAAUUCCACGUGUAGCAGUGAAAUGCGUAGAGAUGUGGAGGAAUACCGAUGGCGAAGGCAGCCCCCUGGGAUAGCACUGACGUUCAUGCCCGAAAGCGUGGGUAGCAAACAGGAUUAGAUACCCUGGUAGUC